GACGAACGUUGGCGGCGUGCUUAACACAUGCAAGUCGAACGGAAAGGCCCUGCUUUUGUGGGGUGCUCGAGUGGCGAACGGGUGAGUAACACGUGAGUAACCUGCCCUUGACUUUGGGAUAACUUCAGGAAACUGGGGCUAAUACCGGAUAGGAGCUCCUGCUGCAUGGUGGGGGUUGGAAAGUUUCGGCGGUUGGGGAUGGACUCGCGGCUUAUCAGCUCGUUGGUGGGGUAGUGGCUUACCGAGGCUUUGACGGGUAGCCGGCCUGAGAGGGUGACCGGCCACAUUGGGACUGAGAUACGGCGCAGACUCCUACGGGAGGCAGCAGUGGGGAAUAUUGCACAAUGGGCGGAAGCCUGAUGCAGCAACGCCGCGUGCGGGAUGACGGCCUUCGGGUUGUAAACCGCUUUCGCCUGUGACGAAGCGUGAGUGACGGUAAUGGGUAAAGAAGCACCGGCUAACUACGUG
This 468-nucleotide ribosomal RNA is filed under the name uncultured bacterium. Its description in RNAcentral is "partial 16S ribosomal RNA". It matches the Rfam family "Bacterial small subunit ribosomal RNA", at positions 28 to 507 of the family's 1533-position model. The record is from RNAcentral.